GGCUUGACAGGGCUCAGGCUUCUCAAUCUCCUAUACUCCACAGCGAUCCGAUUAGAACCACUUGAAACAGCAGCAGAUCACUUUUGAGAUGCUAGUCAGCAGGAAAGCCUCUAAAAUUAAACCAACCACUAAAACCUCCACAAUGGGAGACUAACAAACCACACAAAAGGAUCAGAAAACCAUUUAAAGGAAAUUACAUAUAUUGCACAUAAAAAUGAAGAGAAAGUGGGAGUAAGCCAGGCCAAGAGGCCGGAUUUCCCCACUUACCUAAAACCAGUAACUGCAAGUUUAGAGUGAAGGGAGAUAAAAGCGUCUUGAGAGAGAGUUUAAUUCUGCCAGCCAUUGGCACUUGGCAGAUUAGCAAUCAAGCGUAUAUAGAGAUCCAACCUUCACCUUAACAUAAAUAUGAACAUGAUCACCGGACACCAUUCCCCUCUCCAUACUCCACAAAUAUCAUAUAAUAACUGUACAAACUCG
Molecule: unclassified non-coding RNA, 477 nt
Filed under: Hevea brasiliensis (rubber tree)
Lineage: Eukaryota; Viridiplantae; Streptophyta; Magnoliopsida; Malpighiales; Euphorbiaceae
Source: RNAcentral